AGCCCAGUGACGCAGUGGUUAGCGUGUCGUUCUUAUAAUGCGAAAGUCCCGAGUUCGACUCUCGGUUGGGCUA
Molecule: transfer RNA, 73 nt
Filed under: Endocarpon pusillum
Lineage: Eukaryota; Fungi; Ascomycota; Eurotiomycetes; Verrucariales; Verrucariaceae
Also listed under: 1 other name
Description: tRNA-Ile (TAT) (tRNA-Ile-TAT-1-1)
Rfam family: tRNA
About the family: Transfer RNA (tRNA) molecules are approximately 80 nucleotides in length.
Source: RNAcentral